UAUGCCGCGUGAGUGAAAAGCCUUUGGGUUGUAAAGCUCUUUGUAGGGGAAGAUAAUGACUGUCCCUAAGAAUAAGGUCCGGCUAACUUCGUGCCAGCAGCCGCGGUAAUACGAAGGGACCUAGCGUAGUUCGGAAUUACUGGGCGUAAAGCGCGCGUAGGCCGUUGAGUUAGUUAAUUGUGAAAUCCCAAAGCUUAACUUUGGAACUGCAAUUAAAACUGCUCGACUAGAGUUUGAUAGAGGAAAGCGGAAUACAUAGUGUAGAGGUGAAAUUCGUAGAUAUUAUGUAGAACACCAGUUGCGAAGGCGGCUUUCUGGGUCGACACUGACGCUGAGGCGCGAAAGUAUGGGUAGCAAAGAGGAUUAGAUACCCUCGUAGUCCAUAGCAUAAACGAUGAUUGCUAGAUGUUGGAAAUUUAUUUUACAGUAUCGCAGAUAACGCAUUAAGCAAUCCCGCC
This 458-nucleotide ribosomal RNA is filed under the name uncultured archaeon. Its description in RNAcentral is "bacterial SSU rRNA". It matches the Rfam family "Bacterial small subunit ribosomal RNA", at positions 393 to 873 of the family's 1533-position model. The record is from RNAcentral.